GUCUCGUUCGUCUAGCGGUGAGGACGCCGGACUUUCACUCCGGAAAUCGCGGGUUCGAAUCCCGCACGAGAUGCCA
RNAcentral lists this transfer RNA (76 nucleotides) under Variovorax sp. RNAcentral describes it as "tRNA-Glu". It matches the Rfam family "tRNA". Rfam says of the family: Transfer RNA (tRNA) molecules are approximately 80 nucleotides in length. Their secondary structure includes four short double-helical elements and three loops (D, anti-codon, and T loops). Further hydrogen bonds mediate the characteristic L-shaped molecular structure. tRNAs have two regions of fundamental functional importance: the anti-codon, which is responsible for specific mRNA codon recognition, and the 3' end, to which the tRNAs corresponding amino acid is attached (by aminoacyl-tRNA synthetases). tRNAs cope with the degeneracy of the genetic code in two manners: having more than one tRNA (with a specific anti-codon) for a particular amino acid; and 'wobble' base-pairing, i.e. permitting non-standard base-pairing at the 3rd anti-codon position. The record is from RNAcentral. Lineage: Bacteria; Pseudomonadati; Pseudomonadota; Betaproteobacteria; Burkholderiales; Comamonadaceae. RNAcentral also lists the same sequence under 9 other names.